AAGGAGAGAAGGAGCGAGGUGAGAAGGAGAGAGGAGAGAAGGAGAGAAGGAGCGAGGUGAGAAGGAGAGAGGUGAGAAGGAGAGAGGAGAGAAGGAGUGAGGUGGAGCGAGGUGAGAAGGAGAGAAGGAGCGAGGUGAGAAGGAGUGAGGAGAGAAGGAGAGAGGAUAGAAGGAGUGAGGAGAGAAGGAGUGAGGAGAGAAGGAGUGAGGAGAGAAGGAGCGAGGUGAGAAGGAGUGAGGAGAGGAGAGAAGGAGUGAGGAGAGAAGGAAUGAGAAGAGAAGGAGUGAGGUGAGAAGGAGAGAGGAGAGAAGGAGAGAAGGAGCGAGGUGAGAAGGAGAGAGGAGAGAAGGAGAGAAGGAGCGAGGUGAGAAGGAGAGAGGAGAGAAGGAGAGAAGGAGCGAGGUGAGAAGG
Long non-coding RNA from Oncorhynchus tshawytscha (Chinook salmon), 412 nucleotides. The record is from Ensembl. NCBI's taxonomy places the organism in Eukaryota, Metazoa, Chordata, Actinopteri, Salmoniformes, Salmonidae.